This is a long non-coding RNA of Amphiprion ocellaris (clown anemonefish), 403 nucleotides long. RefSeq lists it as uncharacterized. The transcript is spliced from 2 exons. The record is from RefSeq and is a predicted model, not a curated record. NCBI's taxonomy places the organism in Eukaryota, Metazoa, Chordata, Actinopteri, Pomacentridae.
GCAGACAGGGUACUCAUUUUUAGGGUGGGAACACUUCCCUUUAAAUCACAAUGCUACCUUGUAGUGAAUCCCGCUCUCUGCUUUCUCCCUAUAUGGAUCACUCUUCUCUCCAGUGUUUCCAGAAAAGGCUCCUGAGGAGAAAUUCUUCCCUGCAUCACAAAAAAGAUAUGUGCAGUACUGAAGAUGUUUUUGGUGUGCUAUCUGGAGACUUGUGAAAGCAACAAAGGGUAAUUUUCGUCAGUACAGAGAGAAGAAGGAGUGUUAACUUAUGGAGCUCCCUCUACACAAGUCAUCUGUGUCUCCUCCAGUCACAGCUGAACCUUCCCAGCCUCAACGCUCUAAUGUAUGCAAUUAGAAAUGAUGAAAAAUCAAAAAAGAAAUUAAAUUUGGUUGUGAUACAUUU